RNAcentral lists this ribosomal RNA (253 nucleotides) under uncultured bacterium. Its description in RNAcentral is "partial 16S ribosomal RNA". It matches the Rfam family "Bacterial small subunit ribosomal RNA", at positions 524 to 776 of the family's 1533-position model. The record is from RNAcentral.
UACGUAGGGUCCAAGCGUUAUCCGGAAUCACUGGGCGUAAAGCGUUCGUAGGCGGGUAUUUAAGUGAGAUGUGAAAGCGUGUGGCUCAACCAUAUCGUUGUGUCUCAUACUGGGUACCUGGAGGAAGGCAGAGGCAAGUGGAAUUGGCAGUGUAGCAGUGAAAUGCGUAGAGAUUGCCAGGAACACCAAUGGCGAAGGUAGCUUGCUGGGCCUUUUCUGACGCUGAGGAACGAAAGCGUGGGGAGCGAACAGG